AAAUGGCUGGGUUAUUUUUUAACCCAAAAUGCUGGGUUGAGUCUGUUGGGUUGUUUUGCUGGGUUAUUUUUUUUACAUUUUAAACACUUUUUGGGUAGUUUCAGUUUUCUAGGUGUUGGGUUAAAACUGCUGGGUUAUUAUGUUGGGUUGUUUGAAGAGGCUCACGUGCUUCGCGCCCUUGAUGUUUGAAUGUGCUCAGCAAUGGUCGUCGUGAAAGGACAGAGUCACUGAAGCAGUUGUUUCAAGAUUGUGCAGAGUUUUAACGUCCAUCCAUUGAUGAGGCUAGCAAGACCUUCAUACAACUUCAGCCAAUUGCAACAAAUGUGGUGGAAUUUCUUCUCUGGACAGAAUCCUCGAAACCCUUUCCUUUCGUCCUGGCCAUGGGAAACAUGCAGCAGAUCUCUCAAUCUUUUUUCUCAAUCAGUCUCUCUGAAUACGGAAGUGACUUAAACUGCAAUUCGGCCAAGAUGGCGACGGCACGCACCGCCUACUUUAAGCUUCAAAAAUGCUCUUCACAAACCAAUGGGUGACGUCACAGACACUACUUGCAUAUUUUUUACAGUCUCUGGUUUAAAGGCAUUUUAAGUGCUUAAAAAAAUAAAUACCCCAGGCAAUGUG
This is a non-coding RNA of Misgurnus anguillicaudatus (oriental weatherfish), 618 nucleotides long. NCBI's taxonomy places the organism in Eukaryota, Metazoa, Chordata, Actinopteri, Cypriniformes, Cobitidae. The record is from RefSeq and is a predicted model, not a curated record.